CACUGGAGUACCACUGGCUGUCUGUUUGGAAACCCCUCCGCCCCCGUGGUAUCAGCAUGUGUCUCUUCCUGCCUCUUGAAACGCAGUCUGGAGUCAGGUGGAACGCAUGAGGGUGUUCCCUAGGCGACGGACGGAAAUGGAGGUGGAUGUGCAUUGACGUAUGCGGAAGCGGGUCCGGAGGUGCGGACGAGGAGGAUAGCGGCGUCAGCGGCAUUUGGGUAUUUAGGAGGAAUCUCAUCUUCUCCAGAAGUCCGGAGCAAUUCUUUGGAGAGGUGCAGCGGUAGAAUAAGGACUACCUGUGCUACAGCCCAGAGGUGGCAUCUGUGGACUGGGAUUUUAUCUAACUAUCACAGAAGACAUUGAGCUACACACCAGCGCACCUGUACACCCGAUUCCUGAAAAUUGUAUUUAUAUAUAUAUAUAUAUAUAUAUGACAACGGCAGGUCAAAGAAUACAAACAAAUGUGCUUACCUAUAUAGUGCAUGCAGACGCCGUCACCACGCUUCCGGAACACAGGCACCCGCCAGGUCCGUUGGCGCACCCACAUGACGUCAUCAACCAAGGCUGAAUCUCAUCUUCUCCAGAAGUCCGGAGCAAUUCUUUGGAGAGGUGCAGCGGUAGAAUAAGGACUACCUGUGCUACAGCCCAGAGGUGGCAUCUGUGGACUGGGAUUUUAUCCAACUAUCACAGAAGACAUUGAGCUACACACCAGCGCACCUGUAUACCCGAUUCCUGAAAAUUAUAUAUAUAU
Long non-coding RNA from Pseudophryne corroboree (corroboree frog), 751 nucleotides. RefSeq lists it as uncharacterized. The record is from RefSeq and is a predicted model, not a curated record. The transcript is spliced from 5 exons. Lineage: Eukaryota; Metazoa; Chordata; Amphibia; Anura; Myobatrachidae.